Long non-coding RNA from Passer domesticus (house sparrow), 408 nucleotides. RefSeq lists it as uncharacterized. NCBI's taxonomy places the organism in Eukaryota, Metazoa, Chordata, Aves, Passeriformes, Passeridae. The transcript has 3 exons. The record is from RefSeq and is a predicted model, not a curated record.
GGAAGAGCAUCAUGUGCUCGCCCAGGACUGCGGAGCCUGCGCUGCUGAUACUCCUGGAUGUGCUGGGGAGCUGGCCCGAACACAGCAUGUGCACCUCCGAUGGGGACAAAACGGGUGUCUUGGUCCUGGCUGCCACUGUGGUGAUGUGGAAGAUCCUCCAGGUGCCCUGUGUCCCACACACAGUGACGGUGUAUUUCCCUCGCCUCUUUGUGCAUCUGCUUUUCCAAGUGUUCUUCACCACUCUGGAUAUGCCAGAGGAGGUGGAUACCUUUUGGAAGGGGUGCCAAGAGCAAUAUGACCUUGCCACCAGCCCCAACAGGUUUGCAGUGCGGACUCUGAAGUCCCUGCUCUGCCGAAUGCAGCACGAGGAUGUGGUGGUGGCGAUGGAAGCACCAGCGUGUGGCUGGG